UAGGGUGCGAACGCAGCUGGUUCGCCCCGUCCGCCAGGCGGGAUGCGUCGUAAGAGGGAACCCGGUGGGAAUCCGGGACUGCCCCGCAGCGGUGAGCGGGAACGACCGCCGUCAUACGCACUGGGCCCGGCCGGGCCUGGGAAGCGACGGCCAGUAGAUGCCUCAAAGAACACGAGGCGUGCCCGCGAGUCCGAAGACCUGCCACUGCCCGUGUGCGACC
This 220-nucleotide non-coding RNA is filed under the name Streptomyces sp. The record is from RNAcentral. Lineage: Bacteria; Bacillati; Actinomycetota; Actinomycetes; Kitasatosporales; Streptomycetaceae.